CAGAAAUACUUUGGUCAUUCACUGUUGUGACUCAACAGGCUGUGUCGUCAGGCUUCACGAUCAGAGGUUAUAUCACAAUUUAAACAUGUCUCCUCACUCCUGGCACCAGGGCUAUGGGCGGAAUGGAGAAAUGUGAUUUAAACGUACGGAGCCAGCAACUGGUCUGUGGGAUGUUCUUCGGGUCUUCAGACACGUCUGGGACGUUGUAAGGGGAGAGUUUGGUUAUGGAAACACUUGACCGAGGUCUCCCAAGAUUUGACAGCGAUCUCAAAAUUGUAUACGACGUUUCUAAUAUUGAGCUGUGAAGCUGAAAGAAACGUUUUCAAACAACCUGUAAUAUACACCAAGUUCCCAUCAACUGUGUUAGAGGCAAGAGAAUGGAUUCUCCUUUUCUCUGUAUAAGAAACGGAAGAUGUAAAAACGCCUCACGAAGAAGUGAUGAAGAGUACGCAGGUAAAUAGUAGAGGGAAGAAAACUAUCACGGAGGCUACAAACUCUGUAGUAUUUGUAAAAAUUGUAAUAUUUGUGGUAUUUGUCAGGUGUUGUAGAUCUAUACUUUGCCGCGAACGUUCUUCUCAUUCUAAAUGAACUUACGCACACGCCUAAUUCUCUCUUUCAAUUUGUAUUCUUUCCUCCCAUACUGUAUCAACUCCAGACCCUACAAAACUUGAAUCAGACCUCAGAAAGAGACCCUGAGGUUUCCCCGGGGAUCCGUGAGAGUUCACGGAGCAUCCACGUAUGAGCGGAGAGAUGGAAGAAAUAUACGAGCUUGCCAAGUGGCAAAAGGAACUUGAACGAGUGUCUGGAAAGCACUCUAUGAAGCAGCAGGGGAAGAAUUCUCUCAAGUUGCUAAAGCCGGGAUGCUAUGGCUCGCUUCAGAAGACUGUAAUUUGGGGUACGAGAAUGGUAAAACCAACAUUUGCAAACCUCAGAUACAAAGAGAGUCAAUUAAAGGAGGAGCUUCGUUGUGACCAAAGAUACGAGGAGAAUUUCAGGGUUGGCUUCAGAUUCACAUCACUUCCUCUCAUCCGUGACUCAGAAGUGAAGUGUGUGUGUGUGUGUGUGUGCGCGCGCGCGUGUGGUGUGUGUAUUUAUAUGGGGAGAGUAUGUGCAAAGCUGAUUGCCCAGGUCACAGAAGUCAUCUUAAUUAAUUUAAUGAUGCAAAUAAGAGUUAUCCAGC
This 1180-nucleotide long non-coding RNA is filed under the name Felis catus (domestic cat). Its description in RNAcentral is "lncRNA (ENSFCAG00000042482.2)". The record is from RNAcentral. Lineage: Eukaryota; Metazoa; Chordata; Mammalia; Carnivora; Felidae.